GAGAGAGACAUGAUCGUAACGACAACUGCUAAUUUUCGCCUUCUUGGUUUAACUCCAGGACUCCCUUA
RNAcentral lists this transfer RNA (68 nucleotides) under Aphyosemion cognatum (redspot panchax). RNAcentral's name for it is "tRNA-Ser". Lineage: Eukaryota; Metazoa; Chordata; Actinopteri; Cyprinodontiformes; Nothobranchiidae. The record is from RNAcentral.